AUUGAACGCUGGCGGCAUGCCUUACACAUGCAAGUCGAACGGCAGCACGGGUGCUUGCACCUGGUGGCGAGUGGCGAACGGGUGAGUAAUACAUCGGAACGUACCUUAUCGUGGGGGAUAACGCAGCGAAAGUUGCGCUAAUACCGCAUACGCCCUGAGGGGGAAAGCGGGGGACCGUAAGGCCUCGCGCGAUUAGAGCGGCCGAUGUCUGAUUAGCUUGUCGGUGAGGUAAAAGCUCACCAAGGCGAUGAUCAGUAGCUGGUCUGAGAGGACGAUCAGCCACACUGGGACUGAGACACGGCCCAGACUCCUACGGGAGGCAGCAGUGGGGAAUUUUGGACAAUGGGGGCAACCCUGAUCCAGCAAUGCCGCGUGAGUGAAGAAGGCCUUCGGGUUGUAAAGCUCUCUUGUCAGGGAAGAAACAGCAGCUCUAACACAGUCUGCGAAUGACGGUACCUGAAGAAUAAGCACCGGCUAACUACGUGCCAGCCGCCGCUGUAA
This 501-nucleotide ribosomal RNA is filed under the name uncultured bacterium. RNAcentral describes it as "partial 16S ribosomal RNA". It matches the Rfam family "Bacterial small subunit ribosomal RNA", at positions 30 to 523 of the family's 1533-position model. The record is from RNAcentral.